UACGGGGGGGGCAAGCGUUGUUCGGAAUUACUGGGCGUAAAGGGUGCGUAGGCGGCGCGGUAAGUCGGGUGUGAAAUCUCGGAGCUUAACUCCGAAACUGCAUUCGAUACUGCCGUGCUUGAGGACUGGAGAGGAGACUGGAAUUUACGGUGUAGCGGUGAAAUGCGUAGAUAUCGUAAGGAAGACCAGUGGCGAAGGCGGGUCUCUGGACAGUUCCUGACACUGAGGCACGAAGGCCAGGGGAGCAAACGGG
RNAcentral lists this ribosomal RNA (253 nucleotides) under uncultured bacterium. RNAcentral describes it as "partial 16S ribosomal RNA". It matches the Rfam family "Bacterial small subunit ribosomal RNA", at positions 524 to 776 of the family's 1533-position model. The record is from RNAcentral.